This 73-nucleotide transfer RNA is filed under the name Lachnospiraceae bacterium. Its description in RNAcentral is "tRNA-Lys". It matches the Rfam family "tRNA". From Rfam's summary of the family: Transfer RNA (tRNA) molecules are approximately 80 nucleotides in length. Their secondary structure includes four short double-helical elements and three loops (D, anti-codon, and T loops). Further hydrogen bonds mediate the characteristic L-shaped molecular structure. tRNAs have two regions of fundamental functional importance: the anti-codon, which is responsible for specific mRNA codon recognition, and the 3' end, to which the tRNAs corresponding amino acid is attached (by aminoacyl-tRNA synthetases). tRNAs cope with the degeneracy of the genetic code in two manners: having more than one tRNA (with a specific anti-codon) for a particular amino acid; and 'wobble' base-pairing, i.e. permitting non-standard base-pairing at the 3rd anti-codon position. Lineage: Bacteria; Bacillati; Bacillota; Clostridia; Lachnospirales; Lachnospiraceae. The record is from RNAcentral. RNAcentral also lists the same sequence under 1 other name.
GUGACACUAGCUCAGUCGGUAGAGCACCUGACUUUUAAUCAGGUUGUCGGGGGUUCGAUUCCCCCGUGUCACA